Long non-coding RNA from Oncorhynchus nerka (sockeye salmon), 752 nucleotides. RefSeq lists it as uncharacterized. The record is from RefSeq and is a predicted model, not a curated record. The transcript has 3 exons. NCBI's taxonomy places the organism in Eukaryota, Metazoa, Chordata, Actinopteri, Salmoniformes, Salmonidae.
GGCAUGUUCCAAGGGAGAGGAAGACAGGAAGAGAAGGAAGAGAGACAGAUCUUUGAAGGAGAGAGAGAGAGCGAGACGGUGUUGAGUCGGACGUCCAGAAAACAGGAGAAUAAAACGAGCUGAGGAUCUACCUGAACAAGGUCCUCCAUAUUGAAAAGGCACCUGUCAUCUUUGACCAUGUCUAAGGAUCAGUGUGACUCCGUAGCAGUGAGCGUCGAGUCCCUCUUAACAGACGCAGUUAAGAUGCAGUCCCAGUGUCGGGAGCGUAGUGAGCAGCUAGCUGUGGCCGCCGCCGCACUGCGGGAGGAGUCGGCGUGCUUGAGAGAACAGUGUCAAGCCACCCAGCUGGAUAUGGCCCGGAUGAGAAGGCAGCUAGAAGAACUGCUGGAUACCAAAGCUCAGAUGGAGGCCAGUGAUAGAAUGCACCGCAAACUCAGCAGGACACUCUAAAUGGAAGAGAAGAAAGAGGUAGAGAGAGAGAGGAGAAAGAGGUAGAGAGAGAGAUGAGAAAGAGGUAGAGAGAGAGAUGAGAAAGAGGUAGAGAGAGAGAGGAGAAAGAGGUAGAGAGGAAAAGGGGGAGGAACCAGGAGAGAGGGUGAGAGAAGAGUGAAGGAGAGAGAGGAGAAAGAGGUAGAGAGAGAGAAGAAGAACAGCUGGGUACCAAGGCUACGAUGGAGUCCCGGGGUGAACACACACUUGGAAAUAGGUCUGGCAGACUUUACAGUUAAAUAAAUAAUUAUUUUAACAACGUA